ACGUGGUAUCCUGUCUGAAUAUGGGGGGACCAUCCUCCAAGGCUAAAUACUCCUGACUGACCGAUAGUGAACCAGUACCGUGAGGGAAAGGCGAAAAGAACCCCGGCGAGGGGAGUGAAAAAGAACCUGAAACCGUGUACGUACAAGCAGUGGGAGCACGCUUAGGCGUGUGACUGCGUACCUUUUGUAUAAUGGGUCAGCGACUUAUAUUCUGUAGCAAGGUUAACCGAAUAGGGGAGCCGAAGGGAAACCGAGUCUUAACUGGGCGUUAAGUUGCAGGGUAUAGACCCGAAACCCGGUGAUCUAGCCAUGGGCAGGUUGAAAGUUGGGUAACACUAACUGGAGGACCGAACCGACUAAUGUUGAAAAAUUAGCGGAUGACUUGUGGCUGGGGGUGAAAGGCCAAUCAAACCGGGAGAUAGCUGGUUCUCCCCGAAAGCUAUUUAGGUAGCGCCUCGUGAAUUCAUCUCCGGGGGUAGAGCACUGUUUCGGCAAGGGGGUCAUCCCGACUUACCAACCCGAUGCAAACUGCGAAUACCGGAGAAUGUUAUCACGGGAGACACACGGCGGGUGCUAACGUCCGUCGUGAAGAGGGAAACAACCCAGACCGCCAGCUAAGGUCCCAAAGUCAUGGUUAAGUGGGAAACGAUGUGGGAAGGCCCAGACAGCCAGGAUGUUGGCUUAGAAGCAGCCAUCAUUUAAAGAAAGCGUAAUAGCUCACUGGUCGAGUCGGCCUGCGCGGAAGAUGUAACGGGGCUAAACCAUGCACCGAAGCUGCGGCAGCGACGCUGAUGCGUUGUUGGGUAGGGGAGCGUUCUGUAAGCCUGUGAAGGUGUGCUGUGAGGCAUGCUGGAGGUAUCAGAAGUGCGAAUGCUGACAUAAGUAACGAUAAAGCGGGUGAAAAGCCCGCUCGCCGGAAGACCAAGGGUUCCUGUCCAACGUUAAUCGGGGCAGGGUGAGUCGACCCCUAAGGCGAGGCCGAAAGGCGUAGUCGAUGGGAAACAGGUUAAUAUUCCUGUACUUGGUGUUACUGCGAAGGGGGGACGGAGAAGGCUAUGUUGGCCGGGCGACGGUUGUCCCGGUUUAAGCGUGUAGGCUGGUUUUCCAGGCAAAUCCGGAAAACUAAGGCUGAGGCGUGAUGACGAGGCACUACGGUGCUGAAGCAACAAAUGCCCUGCUUCCAGGAAAAGCCUCUAAGCAUCAGGUAACAUCAAAUCGUACCCCAAACCGACACAGGUGGUCAGGUAGAGAAUACCAAGGCGCUUGAGAGAACUCGGGUGAAGGAACUAGGCAAAAUGGUGCCGUAACUUCGGGAGAAGGCACGCUGAUAUGUAGGUGAAGUCCCUCGCGGAUGGAGCUGAAAUCAGUCGAAGAUACCAGCUGGCUGCAACUGUUUAUUAAAAACACAGCACUGUGCAAACACGAAAGUGGACGUAUACGGUGUGACGCCUGCCCGGUGCCGGAAGGUUAAUUGAUGGGGUCAGCGCAAGCGAAGCUCUUGAUCGAAGCCCCGGUAAACGGCGGCCGUAACUAUAACGGUCCUAAGGUAGCGAAAUUCCUUGUCGGGUAAGUUCCGACCUGCACGAAUGGCGUAAUGAUGGCCAGGCUGUCUCCACCCGAGACUCAGUGAAAUUGAACUCGCUGUGAAGAUGCAGUGUACCCGCGGCAAGACGGAAAGACCCCGUGAACCUUUACUAUAGCUUGACACUGAACAUUGAGCCUUGAUGUGUAGGAUAGGUGGGAGGCUUUGAAGUGUGGACGCCAGUCUGCAUGGAGCCGACCUUGAAAUACCACCCUUUAAUGUUUGAUGUUCUAACGUUGACCCGUAAUCCGGGUUGCGGACAGUGUCUGGUGGGUAGUUUGACUGGGGCGGUCUCCUCCUAAAGAGUAACGGAGGAGCACGAAGGUUGGCUAAUCCUGGUCGGACAUCAGGAGGUUAGUGCAAUGGCAUAAGCCAGCUUGACUGCGAGCGUGACGGCGCGAGCAGGUGCGAAAGCAGGUCAUAGUGAUCCGGUGGUUCUGAAUGGAAGGGCCAUCGCUCAACGGAUAAAAGGUACUCCGGGGAUAACAGGCUGAUACCGCCCAAGAGUUCAUAUCGACGGCGGUGUUUGGCACCUCGAUGUCGGCUCAUCACAUCCUGGGGCUGAAGUAGGUCCCAAGGGUAUGGCUGUUCGCCAUUUAAAGUGGUACGCGAGCUGGGUUUAGAACGUCGUGAGACAGUUCGGUCCCUAUCUGCCGUGGGCGCUGGAGAACUGAGGGGGGCUGCUCCUAGUACGAGAGGACCGGAGUGGACGCAUCACUGGUGUUCGGGUUGUCAUGCCAAUGGCACUGCCCGGUAGCUAAAUGCGGAAGAGAUAAGUGCUGAAAGCAUCUAAGCACGAAACUUGCCCCGAGAUGAGUUCUCCCUGACUCCUUGAGAGUCCUGAAGGAACGUUGAAG
Molecule: ribosomal RNA, 2439 nt
Filed under: Escherichia coli
Lineage: Bacteria; Pseudomonadati; Pseudomonadota; Gammaproteobacteria; Enterobacterales; Enterobacteriaceae
Description: partial 23S ribosomal RNA
Rfam family: Bacterial large subunit ribosomal RNA
Source: RNAcentral